This 253-nucleotide ribosomal RNA is filed under the name uncultured bacterium. Its description in RNAcentral is "partial 16S ribosomal RNA". It matches the Rfam family "Bacterial small subunit ribosomal RNA", at positions 524 to 776 of the family's 1533-position model. The record is from RNAcentral.
UCCGAAGGGGGCUAGCGUUGUUCGGAAUCACUGGGCGUAAAGCGCACGCAGGCGGAUUGAUAAGUCGGGGGUGAAAGCCCGGGGCUCAACCUCGGAAUUGCCUUCGAUACUGUCGGUCUCGAGCCCGGGAGAGGUGAGUGGAAUUCCUAGUGGAGAGGUGAAAUUCGUAGAUAUUAGGAAGAACACCAGUGGCGAAGGCGGCUCACUGGCCCGGUACUGACGCUCAGGUGCGAAAGCGUGGGGAGCAAACAGG